RNAcentral lists this transfer RNA (70 nucleotides) under Loxodonta africana (African savanna elephant). It matches the Rfam family "tRNA". From Rfam's summary of the family: Transfer RNA (tRNA) molecules are approximately 80 nucleotides in length. Their secondary structure includes four short double-helical elements and three loops (D, anti-codon, and T loops). The record is from Rfam by way of RNAcentral. Lineage: Eukaryota; Metazoa; Chordata; Mammalia; Proboscidea; Elephantidae.
GCAGUGGCAGUUUAUGGUAGAAUCCUCACCUUCCAUGUGGGAGACCCGGGUUCGACUCCUAGCCAGUGCA